AUUUUUCAUGAUACAAUAACCUGCAGUAUAACAUGUGCAUGGCUUCUAUUCAGAAGGGAAAAAAAGCAACUCUCUAACAAUGGGUUUAAUUCUUAAAGGAAUGUGUUCAUCUCUGUGCUAUUUCCCUCUACGUGGAAAAAGGACUGUAGGCAUACUUUUCUGAGUGAAUGUGGUGAGCCAGCUCAUGUUCCUGCAGUGGUUUCUUUGCAGGAGAGUAGGUGUGUUUCCUUAAGGAUGGGUUCAACUUCCACUUUGGGGAAGACACAGUUUCUGUUUUCUGGCAGAGGUGAGUCUUUGGUAGACUCAAUAUAGUCAUUCUUGUUUUUAUAACA
This 332-nucleotide long non-coding RNA is filed under the name Anas platyrhynchos platyrhynchos (common mallard). RNAcentral's name for it is "lncRNA (ENSAPLG00000021078.1)". Lineage: Eukaryota; Metazoa; Chordata; Aves; Anseriformes; Anatidae. The record is from RNAcentral.